Long non-coding RNA from Mytilus californianus (California mussel), 420 nucleotides. RefSeq lists it as uncharacterized. NCBI's taxonomy places the organism in Eukaryota, Metazoa, Mollusca, Bivalvia, Mytilida, Mytilidae. The record is from RefSeq and is a predicted model, not a curated record. The transcript has 3 exons.
CACUUGGAUUAGCAAUAUACGUUCGGUAUGAUUCCGUGUUUGGAAACAUAGAUAUACAGGCAUUGCUGUCGGAGUUCAGAAUAGCAGACCAAACACUGACCAGAGCACUCAAAAUGUUUUCCAUUGUUGUUGUUACUUUUUCAUCUGCGUCGAUUGUUCUCUUGAUAUACUCAGUUGGUUCUAUGGUCUCACCUAAAUGGAAAAGGCUGCUGUUGUUUAUUAAUGUAGGAUUGUGGAGUAUUAUAACAGUGGCAAACCUAGUUCAAAUUGGCUUGUGGAAGGAGUUUAUGUCACAGACAGACACGUAUAUAGAACACCGGAUAAGUAUAGAAUUCGUAAACAGCCAUAACACCUAUAUGUUUUCACAUGCGUCAGGACACUACGACAGGGAAACAUCGCUCUCUUGGAAUACAUUAUUUG